AAACAAACGGAGCUUGAAUCCGUCUUCACUGACACCAUUGAUCUUUGUUAGGUUGCAGAGCCUAUCGAAUUCAUCAAGGUGGUCGAGUGGAUCCUCCAUUGGCAAACCAUGGAAUUUGUUCCCCUGAAUCAUCGAGAUGAGCCCACUCUUAAUCUCAAAAUUGUUGUUCUGGAUAGCAGGAGGUGCAAUUCCCUUCCUCUGACGGGGAUCACGUGGUGCAUCUCCAGCACCAAUGUUGGCAGGGCCAUUUUGUUGAUUCUGGUCGCCAGCCAUUUCGAGUGGUUGCUGAGGUACAGGGUUGACUGUGGUUCUCCUUUUUCUGAGUUCGCGAGCUGUGCGGGGUAUGUUGUCGUUGAAAAGGAGCUUCUGGUUGCCUGUUGAUCGAGUUCGCAUACAGCAGAGCUGUACCAAUCAAGAAGACAACAAGAAAAACACACAGUUAGUAACCGAAAAGAAAAUUGAAAAAAAACUUGAUCUAAGCAAGUCUGAAAUCUUAAAUGUAACAAACAAACACCCAAUUGGCAACGGCGCCAAAUUGAUAAUAGGUUUUGAUGUCAAUUAUCCUAAAACACCAAUCAUGUCGUUGUAGUAUUUUAGGUUGUCAAUCCAAAUGGGUGUGAUGCUAACAAUCAAGAUGUGAUCAGAUGUCACUAAGUCAAGCCAAGCAUAACAUGUUUUGGUGUGUUCUAGCAGUCCUAAGUGAACAUGCAGAAAACAGAAAAUCAAACAUAAACAGUAAAACACUCGACCAACACAGCUCUUUGCAGAGCACUGGGUGAGGUCGAGUGACAGGUCGAGUAACAGACAGAAAAUGAAACAGGGAUACUCGACUGCACAGUCUGUUGCCAGACAACUAGGUGGUCGAGUACCAAGUCGAGUAACAGUAAAGAAUUGCAGAAACUAAGCAACAGAUGACAGGAUGCAGUAAACAGCAGUAGAGUAAACAAUAAAAUCAAUCAGACAAAGAAUUCCUAAGGAUGGGGUAAUUGAGUAAUUUCGUUUCCUCAGUUUACAGGUGAUUGACAUGCUCAAUAAAUAAACCCUAGACAACAAGUUCAUCAACCAAAUCUAAGUGCCACCGCAACAGAGACUCUCAAGCUAACCUAGUCCCAGACUCAAUCACCAUUGACGAGAGCUAACCUAACAGGCAUUACGAAUCAACAAGUUAAAGCCAAAACGCUCCCUACAACUAAUACCUUGGUACAGGGUCACGAAUCUCUGGAAUUAGUGGUUCAGACAUUUCAUCGAACACCUUUUGGGCGCGGAAAUGUCUGGGCUCAAAUUCCAGUUGAUCAGAAAGCAAUAGGCAUUAAGAACAACUAAUCCAGAAGGGAUCUAUCAAUCAAUACUCAAUCAUCUAGCAUACUGAGAAUUCUACACUACUCUAACCCAUCCUCAGAAACCUAUUCACUCCUCAAACAUCAUAACAGAAGGCAUAAACAUUGAACAAGUUGAAAACAUGCUAACAACAGUGUAACAGCAGGAUGAUAACAGAAUGAACAACAGUAAACAAAAUCAAGAACAAAAGCUGAAUACUGAAGAGAAAUCCGGAUUACAAAAAGUCUAGAACACAAGGUCUGCGGAAAUAAAACUAGGUAAAAAACUUCUUGUCUGCGAAAAUGAGAAGUACAUGCUACUUAUAGCAAAAUAUCCCGAAACCCUAAUACUCAAAACGACGAAGUAUUUGGACGGGUUAAGAACUGUACUCGACCCAGGUGGUCGAGUGAGAGGUCGAGUGAAUAGCUGGAGUCUUCUUUUCUUCCUUGUGCUCGAGUGUCUGGUUGAGUGCGGAAUGAAGAAGGCUCUGAAGCUUGUCAUCGAGUAUGCAGUCAAGUGUUGUGAUGGCGAUACUCGACCUCUAGGUUGAGUGACGAGGUCGAGUAGUGGUCUGGCAGUGAAGGUGAAGGCACUCGACCUCAUGGUCGAGUGAAGUGAUCGAGUGAUGGUCUGGUGAUGGAGAUGAGGGCACUCGACCUCGUGGUCGAGUGGUGAAGUGAAGUGGUGAUGUCCUCUGCUCGACCUGUGGGUCGAGUGGUCUCUUGAGAUCCUGAAGCUCCUACUCGACCUCUUGGUCGAGUGGUUUGUCGUGAUCAGGUCCGCUUCUUCCAAAUAGCUCGUCAACAGCUCCAAAUCACUUGAAAUCAACGCAAAUAUGCAACAUGCAUGCAAAACUAUCCUAAACAUGCAAAGUGAUGACAAAUGAUGUGAAAUGGUAUAAAACAGUGAUGAUAUGAUGCUAAAGUGAUGACAAAUGGAUGCUCAAACAUGCAAAAUACACACUUAUCAAAGAAGAAGAAGGUUCUUCGAGAACUGAAUCUCAAAUUUAUGUCAAAACAAAGAUUUAAAUUGCAAAAUAAAUUACAAUCUUAAAGAAAACAAGGGCUCGUAUUCUCGUAUUGGUCCAGAGAGAAGAGAAAGCUAUCGCGUAGAGUGGAUUUGAAGAUAUUAUGGGAAAGGUUUUUUU
RNAcentral lists this small RNA (2464 nucleotides) under Arabidopsis thaliana (thale cress). Its description in RNAcentral is "ATSL158000". Lineage: Eukaryota; Viridiplantae; Streptophyta; Magnoliopsida; Brassicales; Brassicaceae. The record is from RNAcentral.